Long non-coding RNA from Chinchilla lanigera (long-tailed chinchilla), 1305 nucleotides. RefSeq lists it as uncharacterized. NCBI's taxonomy places the organism in Eukaryota, Metazoa, Chordata, Mammalia, Rodentia, Chinchillidae. The record is from RefSeq and is a predicted model, not a curated record. The transcript has 3 exons.
CCUGUCCGGGCCCUUUGCUGUCAGUGCUUUGCUUUAACCCCAGUGCCUGCACAGUCCAGGCGCUGAAGGAAGCGAAGUAGUCGGUGACGACUUUUAAACAAAUGCACAGGGGAAGGAGGGCGUGGAAGGGCCCUGUGCUCUGGGUGGCGGGGUUGGAGGACCCUGCCCAGAGCCCAUCCCACACUGCUCCAGGAUCUCAGGCACGAAAGGCACCGGCCACUUCCUUCAGAGGCACUCGUUAGAAGUCCUGUGACUGCGGCUUCUACAGCUCAGCCCCUGAGGAAGGAGCCGCCCUGCCUUGGUACUUCCUCUCCUUUAUGAGCUGACACCCAAGUUUCUCAAAUUAUCACAGUGGAAAUCAGAUCAUGCACUUCCUGUUUGGACACGAGGGCAGCUCCUACUCCCCACACCAGCGUUAGAGGCACUUAUCACGGGUCUGGCAGGCGCUGUUCUGCUGAGCUACAUCCCCAGCCCCAGCUCUGUCAAUCUUGAGGUCAUUCCUCCUGCACUCCAGGACGCCUGCCUGCGGUGGAGCUGAACGUCCCCAACCCCGCUGCCUGGGCUUCUAGGCUCCAUCGCUGGCCUGGCCCAGCCUGCUGUUAGAUCCAGCAACUGUCAAUUUUACUAUUGAAGAACCCCUGCGUGCCUGCCGCUCUAGGGAACUCUGUCUCCUUAAACCUCUUCUGUGAGCCUGGAUACCUGCUCAGAAACUCCCUCUGAUCUCACCCAAGACUUCUGAAUAAGAAAGAGACAGCAUGCGGGCCUCUUUCUUGUCACCUGCUGUCACUUGCCAGCCCCGGGGCACCAGCUGCGCUCCCUUGGUGUGUUCUGACUUUUGCUUCCUGUGUCCUUGCUUGUGUGGGACAGUGACGGAAUUUCAACAGACGGAAUCCGGAAGAGGUGACUGAAGGGAGCACAAGCAAAGAUACCUGAGGAUGCAGGGACCCGGAGUUACGUUUGGGAGUUGGAUUCUGAGCAUUUAUGCUCCCAGGGUUGUGACUCCCAGGGGCAGAGGACACUGAAGGGGCCAUCUGGUCUACCCCUCAUUCCCAUUCGCUCCAUCUAUUACCCUACUGAGGCCCAGAGAGAUCAAAUGUCAUCAGCGCAGAGACAAAUCGGGGUCACCCUGCCUAAGGCCUUCGAUGCCAGCUUAGGCCACUUGUGCUAAAGUCCCUGGAUAGCAGGGGCGACUGAAAGCUUUGGCUGGAGUAGGGACCCAAUCGGAGAGGUGUUUUCUGACGGCAGGAUGUGACCCAUCCUUGGAUUGCAAAGUUAAUUCAGCAGAUCAUGAAUCUUAAAAUAUCA